CUUACCAGGGCUAGGCAUCUGUGGGCUCCAAGGCACCAUCAUGGUCUGCAGAGUCACUGACAAGCACCUGUUCCAAACUGAUGGGAUUCUUGAUGUUAGCCUUCGACACCCUGAUGCCAUCUCUUCCUAUGCCACUUCUGAUGCAAAGAAGAAAAAAAUACUACAAAAUCCUACAAUUCAAAAGCAGCAGCAGCAGUGGCAGCAGCAGUUCUUGUGGCAUGCCAGGAAGACCAGGAGGCUUUCAAGGUCUCUGGAGGCUGGGUGUCUGCAUGGCCAAUUCAAACCACAGGAAGCUCCAUGGAACUGGCUCUUGGGGACUGCAAAUGACCAGGAGUUGUAAAUGCAGGCAAACCCG
This 355-nucleotide long non-coding RNA is filed under the name Taeniopygia guttata (zebra finch). RNAcentral describes it as "lncRNA (ENSTGUG00000021474.1)". The record is from RNAcentral. Lineage: Eukaryota; Metazoa; Chordata; Aves; Passeriformes; Estrildidae.